This 408-nucleotide ribosomal RNA is filed under the name uncultured microorganism. RNAcentral describes it as "bacterial SSU rRNA". It matches the Rfam family "Bacterial small subunit ribosomal RNA", at positions 9 to 413 of the family's 1533-position model. The record is from RNAcentral.
GAGUUUGAUCGUGGCUCAGAUUGAACGCUGGCGGCAUGCCUUACACAUGCAAGUCGAACGGCAGCAUGAUCUAGCUUGCUAGAUUGAUGGCGAGUGGCGAACGGGUGAGUAAUACAUCGGAACGUGCCCUGUAGUGGGGGAUAACUAGUCGAAAGAUUAGCUAAUACCGCAUACGACCUGAGGGUGAAAGUGGGGGACCGCAAGGCCUCAUGCUAUAGGAGCGGCCGAUGUCCGAUUAGCUAGUUGGUGGGGUAAAGGCCCACCAAGGCGACGAUCAGUAGCUGGUCUGAGAGGACGAUCAGCCACACUGGGACUGAGACACGGCCCAGACUCCUACGGGAGGCAGCAGUGGGGAAUUUUGGACAAUGGGCGAAAGCCUGAUCCAGCAAUGCCGCGUGUGUGAAGAGG